Non-coding RNA from Ciona intestinalis (vase tunicate), 546 nucleotides. The record is from RefSeq and is a predicted model, not a curated record. Lineage: Eukaryota; Metazoa; Chordata; Ascidiacea; Phlebobranchia; Cionidae.
UGCUAAAAUUGUUUAAAAAGCUGUUUAUAGGAAAAAAAUGUUACCUUUGAACUGGAGUAAGAUCAUCAGCAAAAGUGACGACUUGCUCCUCUUUUGUUUCUUUAUGCUCCUGGGAGGAAACAGGAGGAGCAGAGACUUUCCAUUCUUCGAUCACAAAACAUAUUCCAUACAUAGGUUCCUCACAUAGAGGUCCAGAUAACGUGGCAAGUUGGAAUCCACUUAUAAUACUGUGGUCACACUCACGUUUCACGAAGAUGUACUCCUACCUCCGCCCCGUCUUCCUCCCCCUGACUACUGAUGUUGCUCCCCGUGCUCAAUAAUCUUCUCCUUCUGUGGAACCAGAGGUCCUUGAAAAUCGCCUCCAUGGAUGAGAGGACUUUAAGAAGAUCCCCAUUCUCCUCCAGGAGUUUAAUCACAUCCGGAGGCAGGGAAACAGCUCUUUAAAGAAGACAUUUUGUUUAAAAUGGUGGAAUUUAUUCAAUUUUUGUAAAAACAAAAAAAAUAUUUGUUUUAUAUCUAGAAAUAAUAAAGGCCAAAAAGAUUUUU